CAUUUGGUUAAGGAUCCGGCGUUGCCAUGAGCUGCGGCAUAGGUGACAGUCGUGGCUCAGAUCUAGCAUUGUUGUGGCUGUGGUGUAGGCCAGAAGCUGCAGCCCCAAUUCGACCCCUAACCUGAGAACUUCCAUAUGCCAUGGGUUCAGCAGUAAAAAGAAAAAAAAAAAAAUCAAAUUUAUAAACAUACUUAAAAUUGUAUCUUUGAACUCCUUCUUAAUUACAAUUCUAGGAUUUGUUUCUGGAAGCCAGUUAGGUGAGUCACAAGCUUGCUGGUGGUGUUUGAGCAAAUCACCACACAGCAAGGUGGCACUGAUUCAUACUUACUCCAGUGGUUUAUGGCAAUGCUCAUUUCACCUCACCUUUAUCAACACCAGAUACCAUCAUCGUUCUUGAUUCUCCUUUUCAUGAGCAGCAUUGUUAUGGUUUGCUCAGCAAAUCAUUGAAAAAAAUCUUAGACUUGGUAGCUUCUACCCUGGUCCUGCAGAUACUUCAGAUGAUUUUCUUUUAUCCAUCAGUUAUUCUUGUAUAUAUUUAACUAUUGAACAUCCAUUACAUGUCCAGCACUGCCCAAAUGUUUAUAGAUGAUGUGGUAUCUGAUUUUGGGAAAUCCCUUAUAUUUAAUAUUAAAGUUAGAAAAGGAAAGAAGAGAAAAUAAGUAGGGCCAUAUGAAUCUUACUUACUUCAAUGUUCAGCACCUGAACAGAGUGCCUGGUAAAUGGUAGACUCUCGAUCAAAUUCAAGAGCUCAUCAUUCACGAAUGAAUUUGUGAAUAAGUGUAUGAUAAUGUUUGCAUAAGUGAUGAAGAGAACAAAAUAAAGGGGUGAUUAUUUUAAGUUAGGGACAAUAAGGGAAGGCUGCGUGCCAUUGUCUUGACUCAACAGAAGCCAGAAAGCAUGAGAGCUGAGUCUGCAAAGAGCUGCAAAGGAGAGGCCACCACAUGGCAGAGGAAGGACCUGAAGGAGCAAAUAGAGAAUAAUCAGGACACCAGCUCUGAUACCUACUCUCUGGGGUAUUCCAGGACUUCCUGCCUGCAGAGACCCUCAGUAGAAGCACUGCACGCCCUGCUGUGA
This 1074-nucleotide long non-coding RNA is filed under the name Sus scrofa (pig). RNAcentral's name for it is "lncRNA (ENSSSCG00040052120.1)". The record is from RNAcentral. Lineage: Eukaryota; Metazoa; Chordata; Mammalia; Artiodactyla; Suidae.